AUGAAGGAGUUUUUGCAUCUUUGUAAAUACAUCCAUCAGCUGCCAGCUCACUUCUUCUGCUCUCCAGGCUCCUUCCAAGUCUCAGCAUCUUCUCCAUUAGAGGCAACCAAGGCUGCAGUAAAAGUCUCUGCUGACUUGAAUGAAAGAACAGUGUCUCAUUGCAAGAAGCAGAACCAGCUGCUUCCAGACCAAACUGGAAUUAUACAACAGGAGUUACUGAUGUGUACAGUAAACCUAAAGGAUUCUGCAAGGCAAAUUGCUACUAAAGGCAUUGCACUUGUCUCCAAACAGGAAUGGUGAAUUCUGUCUGUAUCUGUGCUUGGAGGCGACAAACAGUCCUCUGUAGAAAUGCUUCCCCCUCAUAGAGUAAAGUACAUAUUAGAGUUUCACUACAGGAGAGGAAGGUUGAAAUAGAGAGGGUUUUUGUUUGUUUUUUUUUGACAUUGUGUUGAUGUAUUCAACCCAUUUGCAGCUUUGGGUAUUAAUCAACACAUUUUGACAAAAGCAAAACAAAAGAAAAAAAAUCAUUUUAUCCAUCCUCUAAAAGGAAAGAAAACAACUUUGACCUUUCCUUUUAAAAUCUUUCACCAUACUAAAAAAAAAAAAAAAAAAAAAAUAGAAAAUAUAUAUAUCCUUAACAAAAGAAUUUUCACAGCUUCAAAUCGUACUUUUUUUCAUGCCUUCACAAGUUCAUUUCAGAUCAACCCCAAAUUAUUCCCCAGUUGUUUCUUUGGAACACUGGAUGGGACAGAAAGUCUCUGCCCUUCUCUGGGGUGCUGAACUGCAGCUUUCUGGGCUUCUCACACCUUAGGAUUUGAGACUGAGUUAACAGAAACACUGGCAAGUAUCAGUGCAGAUCCUUUCAAACACAAAACUAUGCGAUUGGUUUUUGCUGAAACAAGAAGCAUCCUGGAGCAAACAGUUUGAAGUAGAUAAAAUCUGAUUUAUUUUUGUCCCCCUUUUUCUCCUUUAUUUACAAUUGUGCUGAUCUCCUGGAGUUAACUGCCCAACUAUUUGAGGCACAGGACAGAACCUGCAGCUUUCAUGCGCCUGGACAGACACCUGCCUCAGAGCUGGGGGCUGCAGAUUUCCUGCUUCAGCAGGGCUAUGGAUCACAAUGUUAGGAGGUGGUAGGGAGCAACUCCCUUCCCUCCAAACCCAAACAAAGAAACUUCUCUUUGUGAAGCAGCAAGUCCUGCCCCAAACUUUCUCCUUGGCUGUCCAGAAUCUGUUGUCCUGCUCUGUCUUAGCAGCAGAGGGGAUGAGGAAGCCAGAAAAGUAGAUCCUGCAGGGGAGGGAG
This 1300-nucleotide long non-coding RNA is filed under the name Coturnix japonica (Japanese quail). RNAcentral's name for it is "lncRNA (ENSCJPG00005006590.1)". The record is from RNAcentral. Lineage: Eukaryota; Metazoa; Chordata; Aves; Galliformes; Phasianidae.